Non-coding RNA from Pelobates cultripes (western spadefoot toad), 237 nucleotides. The record is from the annotation of a GenBank genome assembly. Lineage: Eukaryota; Metazoa; Chordata; Amphibia; Anura; Pelobatidae.
CCACUAGUGGUGCUUCCUGGGUCAAUUUUGCAGUGUGUUGCCCUGACAUUCAGCGUUUCCACACUCUGAAUGCUAACGCUGAACUUUCCCUUUAGAGAUGCACUGAUUCAAUGCAUCUCUACGAGGAGAUGCUGAUUUGCCAAGGCGGUGUUCCACUCCGUCCCCGCCUCCUUGGCAGAGAUUAUUAGAAUUGCCAAUCUCAGCCUAUCCAAUGCUUUCCUACGGGAAAGCAUUGUG